ACAAGCGCGGAGCAUGCGGAUUAAUUCGAUGCAACGCGAAGAACCUUACCAAGGCUUGACAUACACCGGUAACGCCCAGAGAUGGGUGCCCCUUUGUGGUCGGUGUACAGGUGGUGCAUGGUUGUCGUCAGCUCGUGUCGUGAGAUGUUGGGUUAAGUCCCGCAACGAGCGCAACCCUCGUCCUAUGUUGCCAGCGGGUCAUGCCGGGGACUCAUGGGAGACUGCCGGGGUCAACUCGGAGGAAGGUGGGGAUGACGUCAAAUCAUCAUGCCCCUUAUGUCUUGGGCUUCACGCAUGCUACAAUGGCCGGUACAAAGGGCUGCGAUACCGCGAGGUGGGGCGAAUCCCAGAAAGCCGGUCUCAGUUCGGAUUGGGGUCUGCAACUCGACCCCAUGAAGUCGGAGUCGCUAGUAAUCGCAGAUCAGCAACGCUGCGGUGAAUACGUUCCCGGGCCUU
Molecule: ribosomal RNA, 456 nt
Filed under: uncultured Curtobacterium sp.
Lineage: Bacteria; Bacillati; Actinomycetota; Actinomycetes; Micrococcales; Microbacteriaceae
Description: bacterial SSU rRNA
Rfam family: Bacterial small subunit ribosomal RNA
Source: RNAcentral